UUUCUUACGCAGCAAUUUCAUUGUAACCUCUACCAGUUCGAAUUUUCAAAACGGCUUAAUUCAGGAUAAUCUUCUGUACGAUGUCAUCUGGUAAACACUUUUCGCUAAACACUUUUUCAGGCACAUUCCCUUUCUAACAGAAUUGUUCCAGAAUGAGAAACAGUCAGAAGAGAGACUUAAGGUGAGAUGUCUCAUGAAUCCAGUAAAGUUGAUAUGAGCCAGGUGUGAGACAAGCAUAUUGGCUGAAAAGGAACAAUUCCAGAACAGAGCAGAAAACAUGUGUGGAAAAGUAUGGUGUAGUUUGUGGACUCAAAGAUGGCUUUGUAUCCAGUAACAAAGAGCAAACAACCUACCAUGACACAUGAACCUUGUAACAGCCUUUGUCAAGAGAGAGUCUCUGUGGCUCAGUGUCCGAUUGUGGGGUUGAUUCAGAAAGUCUGAGAUUUGAUUCCCCAUCAGGAUUGUUAUGUCCCCUACUUGUGAUGCAACAAAAAACAUCCUUCUUGAUCAUAUUAAACCAAACUUGCUUUGUAUUCAUUUUAUGCCCUUGCAAGCAACUGAAACAAGAUUUCAACCUAUUGGUGAUAUAAAUAAUCCUCCAUUUUGUUUAGAUCUUUAAAUUUUCACCUGCUCCUAGAGUUCACACUCCUAAGAUAUAGAACUCAUUCAAAACUUAACUUACUCAAUUAUGGCUUAUUUGAGGGAAAAGGCACAGUAUUAGCAUCAGCCAAGCAAUCUAUUUUCUGAUAUGUUAGUUAACCCUUCAACUCCCAAGAUCUAAUUGCUAAUUCUCCCCUCAAGCUGCUACACAUUUCUUUGUAAGUUAGUUAUGAGAAUUUGAUGUUAGAUCAAGACAACAACUUC
Pocillopora verrucosa is the source of this 864-nucleotide non-coding RNA. NCBI's taxonomy places the organism in Eukaryota, Metazoa, Cnidaria, Anthozoa, Scleractinia, Pocilloporidae. The record is from RefSeq and is a predicted model, not a curated record.